UUCAACAGCAUUUACCUUCCGGCCGUCACGUGUGCGUGUGUGGGUCAGCCAUAUUGGAGCGGUACAGACGGCCAUAGAAAUGAAUGAACAACUUUGUUUCGCGUUAAGAACCAUCCAGGGUCAAGUUCCCUCUUUGUCAGCGACCACUUGGUACAAGUUCUGGAUGAGCGUCUUCUGUGCGGAGAGCUCGCUGCUGAGUGACGGUCCCGAGCUGGGCUGGCUUGGUGCGUUCUGCCUGCUGAGCUGACUGAGCAGCUCCAGCAUGCGACUCUUCUCCUUCUGCCAUGGAAUAACCGAGAGGAACGACAUGGCGCUACGGCUAUAACCAACGUGUCGGCCUGGACUUUUAGUAGAACGGCAUGAUGGUUCUUCUUCGUCCAUGUUCAGCAUGUAUGAUGGAGG
Syngnathus acus (greater pipefish) is the source of this 402-nucleotide long non-coding RNA. RefSeq lists it as uncharacterized. The record is from RefSeq and is a predicted model, not a curated record. The transcript is spliced from 3 exons. NCBI's taxonomy places the organism in Eukaryota, Metazoa, Chordata, Actinopteri, Syngnathiformes, Syngnathidae.